This 507-nucleotide ribosomal RNA is filed under the name uncultured bacterium. RNAcentral describes it as "bacterial SSU rRNA". It matches the Rfam family "Bacterial small subunit ribosomal RNA", at positions 16 to 503 of the family's 1533-position model. The record is from RNAcentral.
AUCAUGGCUCAGGAUGAACGCUGGCGGCGUGCCUAAUACAUGCAAGUCGAGCGAAUGGAUUAAGAGCUUGCUCUUAUGAAGUUAGCGGCGGACGGGUGAGUAACACGUGGGUAACCUACCCAUAAGACUGGGAUAACUCCGGGAAACCGGGGCUAAUACCGGAUAAUAUUUUGAACUGCAUAGUUCGAAAUUGAAAGGCGGCUUCGGCUGUCACUUAUGGAUGGACCCGCGUCGCAUUAGCUAGUUGGUGAGGUAACGGCUCACCAAGGCGACGAUGCGUAGCCGACCUGAGAGGGUGAUCGGCCACACUGGGACUGAGACACGGCUCAGACUCCUACGGGAGGCAGCAGUAGGGAAUCUUCCGCAAUGGACGAAAGUCUGACAGAGCAACGCCGCGUGAGUGAUGAAGGCUUUCGGGUCGUAAAACUCUGUUGUUAGGGAAGAACAAGUGCUAGUUGAAUAAGCUGGCACCUUGACGGUACCUAACCAGAAAGCCACGGCUAACUA